RNAcentral lists this transfer RNA (63 nucleotides) under Diaphanoeca grandis. It matches the Rfam family "tRNA", at positions 7 to 64 of the family's 71-position model. From Rfam's summary of the family: Transfer RNA (tRNA) molecules are approximately 80 nucleotides in length. Their secondary structure includes four short double-helical elements and three loops (D, anti-codon, and T loops). The record is from RNAcentral. Lineage: Eukaryota; Choanoflagellata; Acanthoecida; Stephanoecidae.
GGGAAUAGCUCAGUGGUAGAGCAUCGCCUUGCCAAGGCGAGGGUCGGGAGUUCGAAUCUCCUU